RNAcentral lists this transfer RNA (65 nucleotides) under bovine gut metagenome. It matches the Rfam family "tRNA". From Rfam's summary of the family: Transfer RNA (tRNA) molecules are approximately 80 nucleotides in length. Their secondary structure includes four short double-helical elements and three loops (D, anti-codon, and T loops). Further hydrogen bonds mediate the characteristic L-shaped molecular structure. tRNAs have two regions of fundamental functional importance: the anti-codon, which is responsible for specific mRNA codon recognition, and the 3' end, to which the tRNAs corresponding amino acid is attached (by aminoacyl-tRNA synthetases). tRNAs cope with the degeneracy of the genetic code in two manners: having more than one tRNA (with a specific anti-codon) for a particular amino acid; and 'wobble' base-pairing, i.e. permitting non-standard base-pairing at the 3rd anti-codon position. The record is from RNAcentral.
AGAGUGGCUCAAUGGUAGAGCACCGGCCUUGUAAUCCGGCGGUUAUGGGUUCGAUUCCCAUCUCU